Long non-coding RNA from Maniola jurtina (meadow brown), 99 nucleotides. RefSeq lists it as uncharacterized. NCBI's taxonomy places the organism in Eukaryota, Metazoa, Arthropoda, Insecta, Lepidoptera, Nymphalidae. The transcript has 2 exons. The record is from RefSeq and is a predicted model, not a curated record.
GCCUUAUCUAAUGAAGUACUGUGCAAAUCAAGUUCGCGUGGAAUAGUGCCAAGAAUAUUGGCUGCAUUACCGCGCUGGACAUCCAGGCUGAUCCGUUGC